Molecule: ribosomal RNA, 165 nt
Filed under: Allium falcifolium
Lineage: Eukaryota; Viridiplantae; Streptophyta; Magnoliopsida; Asparagales; Amaryllidaceae
Description: 5.8S ribosomal RNA
Rfam family: 5.8S ribosomal RNA (bases 32-165)
About the family: 5.8S ribosomal RNA (5.8S rRNA) is a component of the large subunit of the eukaryotic ribosome. It is transcribed by RNA polymerase I as part of the 45S precursor that also contains 18S and 28S rRNA.
Source: RNAcentral
CGCAUCCUCCUACUAGUGUGAGAAUAUGCAUGACUCUUGGCAACGGAUAUCUAGGCUCUCGCGUCGAUGAAGAACGUAGCGAAAUGCGAUACUUGGUGUGAAUUGCAGAAUCCCGUGAACCAUCGAGUCUUUGAACGCAAGUUGCGCCCAAGACCAACAGGUCGA